GCCCCGUCUUAGCUUGAGUAAGAUAAUAACGUAGUUCACUUAGCAAUUACGCAGUAGGUAUUUGUGCUUAUUUGCAUAAAUAGAAGGGAAUUUAUACGGUGUUCAGUUUUGUAAUAGCUAACACAUAUUUAAGGAACCCAACA
Molecule: non-coding RNA, 143 nt
Filed under: Photobacterium sp. SKA34
Lineage: Bacteria; Pseudomonadati; Pseudomonadota; Gammaproteobacteria; Vibrionales; Vibrionaceae
Source: RNAcentral